GAUGAACGUUGGCGGCGUGCCUAACACAUGCAAGUCGAACGAAAGUAGCAAUACUUUAGUGGCGCACGGGUGAGUAACACGUAGCUUACCUCCCUCUCGGCGCGGGAUAACGACUCGAAAGAGUUGCUAAUACCGCAUAAGCUCACGGGUUCUAGAGACUUGUGAGAAAAGGCGAAAGUCACUGAGAGACGGGGCUGCGGCCCAUCAGCUAGUUGGCGCGGUAAAGGCGCACCAAGGCGACGACGGGUAGGGGACCUGAGA
RNAcentral lists this ribosomal RNA (261 nucleotides) under uncultured bacterium. RNAcentral describes it as "partial 16S ribosomal RNA". It matches the Rfam family "Bacterial small subunit ribosomal RNA", at positions 28 to 297 of the family's 1533-position model. The record is from RNAcentral.